This 253-nucleotide ribosomal RNA is filed under the name uncultured bacterium. RNAcentral's name for it is "partial 16S ribosomal RNA". It matches the Rfam family "Bacterial small subunit ribosomal RNA", at positions 524 to 776 of the family's 1533-position model. The record is from RNAcentral.
UACGUAGGGUGCGAGCGUUGUCCGGAAUUAUUGGGCGUAAAGAGCUCGUAGGCGGUCUGUCGCGUCGGAUGUGAAAACCCAGGGCUCAACCGUGGGCCUGCAUUCGAUACGGGCAGACUAGAGUACGGCAGGGGAGACUGGAAUUCCUGGUGUAGCGGUGAAAUGCGCAGAUAUCAGGAGGAACACCGGUGGCGAAGGCGGGUCUCUGGGCCGAAACUGACGCUGAGGAGCGAAAGCGUGGGGAGCGAACAGG